This 362-nucleotide ribosomal RNA is filed under the name uncultured Sistotrema. RNAcentral describes it as "eukaryotic LSU rRNA". The stretch from base 1 to 67 matches the Rfam family "5.8S ribosomal RNA", at positions 88 to 154 of the family's 154-position model. Lineage: Eukaryota; Fungi; Basidiomycota; Agaricomycetes; Corticiales; Corticiaceae. The record is from RNAcentral.
GUCAUCGAAUCUUUGAACGCACCUUGCGCUCCCUGGUAUUCCGGGGAGCACGCCUGUUCGAGUGUCGUGAAUACCUCAAGCUGGAUGCUUUAUUGCUAUCUCAGGCUUGGAUUUGGGCUUUGCCGCAAGCCUUCAGUGGCGACGGCUGGUCUUAAAUGCAUUAGCUGGCCCAUGUUUUGUACACUUGGUUCUACUCGGCGUGAUAAGUAUAUGACCGCCGAGGACAUCUCCGCCCACAAAGCGAGGAUGGCCGAGAGUGCCUUGGAUCGCUUCUAAUCGUCUUCACCGACAAACAUUUUUCAACUUUGACCUCGAAUCAGGUGGGACUACCCGCUGAACUUAAGCAUAUCAAUAAGCGGAGG